This 77-nucleotide transfer RNA is filed under the name Candidatus Cloacimonadota bacterium. RNAcentral's name for it is "tRNA-Pro". The record is from RNAcentral. Lineage: Bacteria; Pseudomonadati; Candidatus Cloacimonadota.
CGGGGAGUAGCUCAGAUAGUUAGAGCGCACGCAUGGGGUGCGUGAGGCCGCCGGGGCGGAACCGGCCUUCCCGACCA